This is a long non-coding RNA of Tupaia belangeri chinensis (Chinese tree shrew), 445 nucleotides long. RefSeq lists it as uncharacterized. The transcript has 3 exons. The record is from RefSeq and is a predicted model, not a curated record. NCBI's taxonomy places the organism in Eukaryota, Metazoa, Chordata, Mammalia, Scandentia, Tupaiidae.
CACACUCUGGGCAUUUGGUAGUUAAUUUCAGAGCCUGUCUAAAGGCCUCAAGUGCCCCACUGAUAUUCUUCAGAGCAAGAACGGAAGCUCCAGGAGACCAAGGAGCUUGCCUGCUUUACUGCUAAGACCAGCCCGGUACACAGUCGGAAGCGCAAUAAAAGGAUGUGGAUGAAAUAUGCUGCUGGAGCGGCAAGAUGAGUGUGAGCGGGAUGAAACGAUGAGGGAGGCUGGCAUGUCUGCUGCUCCACUUUUCACGCGAUCCUCUCUUUAGGGGUCAACUCUAACUACCAUAGAUCUGCAUCUACUUCAGGUGUAGAGAGAAGCCCAAGUUCACAGAACACCAGCCCAGUCUCUCUGCUCUUGACAGGAACUCACAUGGGCUCUGGGCUACAGCUGUAAAAACUAACGUGUAACAUACACAGAUCUUGCUAAGAAGCAUGUACAU